Molecule: ribosomal RNA, 497 nt
Filed under: uncultured bacterium
Lineage: Bacteria
Description: partial 16S ribosomal RNA
Rfam family: Bacterial small subunit ribosomal RNA
Source: RNAcentral
GAUGAACGCUGGCGGCGUGCCUAAUACAUGCAAGUCGAGCGAACAGACGAGUAGCUUUCUCCUCUGACGUUAGCGGCGUACGUGUGAGUAACACGUUGAUAACCUACCUAUAAGACUGGGCUAACUUCGGGAAACCGGAGCUAAUACCUGUUAAUAUAUUGCACCGCAUUUUUCAAUAGUGAAAGACGGUUUUGCUUUCACUUAUAUAUUGAUCCGCGCCGCAUUAGCUAGUUGGUAAGGUAACGGCUUACCAAGGCGACGAUUCGUAGCCGACCUGAGCGGGGGGGCGGCCACACUGGAACUGAGACACGGUACAGACUCGUACGGGAGGCAGCAGUAGGGAAUCUUACGCAAUGGGAGAAAGCGUAAAGGAGCAAAGCCGCGUGAGUGAUGAAGGGAUGCGGAUAGUAAAACUCUGUUAUUAGGGAAGAACAAAUGUGAAAGUAACGAGGAACGUCUUGACGGUACCUAAUCAGAAAGCAACGGCUAACUACGUG